UCACGUCCAUAUAUGCCAAUUAACAUUCAGUUUUACUUAAUUGAAAAUUAAAUAAAUAAUUUAACAUUCAUUAUCACGUAUAUAUUUCCUGAUAUUAAUUCUAAAUUAAUUAACAUUGACGCACAUUCAGAUGCUACUUUUUAAAAAUGACUUUCCAACCUCAGAAUUCCAAAGACAGAUGAAACAGUCCACAUUCAGAUUUACAUCCCGAUUACGGAUUUUAAGAAGCAAGCAUUCAUAGGAAGACUUGAAUUAGCCUCGACUCUUAACAUUCUCCCACUGCAAUGAGGACUAAGAUUUCAUAACCGUCUCAGAAAAGGUUGGCCCGGAACUGCCUAUGCUGCUGAAAUGUUUCUUUGACUGCGAGUUUCAACGUAAUAUUUUGCCUUUAACCGUGACU
This 400-nucleotide long non-coding RNA is filed under the name Olea europaea subsp. europaea. The record is from RNAcentral. Lineage: Eukaryota; Viridiplantae; Streptophyta; Magnoliopsida; Lamiales; Oleaceae.